UACGGAAGGCAGCAGUGGGGAAUAUUGCACAAUGGGCGCAAGCCUGAUGCAGCCAUGCCGCGUGUAUGAAGAAGGCCUUCGGGUUGUAAAGUACUUUUCAGUCGUGAGGAAGGUGUUAAGGUUAAUAACCUUAGCAAUUGACGUUAGCGACAGAAGAAGCACCGGCUAACUCCGUGCCAGCAGCCGCGGUAAUACGGAGGGUGCGAGCGUUAAUCGGAAUUACUGGGCGUAAAGGGCACGCAGGCGGUUAAUUAAGUUGGAUGUGAAAUCCCCGGGCUUAACCUGGGAAUGGCAUUCAAGACUGGUUAGCUAGAGUCUUGUAGAGGGGGUAGAAUUCCAUGUGUAGCGGUGAAAUGCGUAGAGAUGUGGAGGAAUACCGGUGGCGAAGGCGGCCCCUGGGCAAAGGCUGACGCUCGAUGUGCGAAAGCGUGGGGAGCGAAA
This 441-nucleotide ribosomal RNA is filed under the name uncultured bacterium. RNAcentral's name for it is "bacterial SSU rRNA". It matches the Rfam family "Bacterial small subunit ribosomal RNA", at positions 340 to 773 of the family's 1533-position model. The record is from RNAcentral.